Molecule: non-coding RNA, 937 nt
Organism: Bactrocera oleae (olive fruit fly)
Lineage: Eukaryota; Metazoa; Arthropoda; Insecta; Diptera; Tephritidae
Source: RefSeq, a predicted model, not a curated record
CUUGUGAGUUGAGAAGAAGAAGCAUAGAACAAAAAGUAAUUGUAAACAAUAACAUAAACCCUUUUGUUAAUUCGUGAAAUAGACUUACAAGUAAUUUAUUAGUUUAUAGUAAAAAAUGUUCAUGAAAUUAAUACAAUAAUGUUGGGUGAAAUAUUAGGGGUAUUUCAUCUAAUGGUUGGUUAGUUUAGCAGACUCUAUGCCCAAUAUGUCGGUCAGUGUGUAAAUUAUCUUCACAAAAUUGCGUGAAAGCAUCUCUAGGAUACUUGGGUAACGCCACACGUUAAUGCAAUCGCUCAACUUGACCGUAUUGACUGUUAGUUUUACACUGCACUUUAUCUAUGUACAUAUAUAAACUAUAAGCGUUGCAAAACUCAUGACGUCUUUGAUGCACCCUCAAUUACUAAUGAAGAAGUUUGAUGAACACGUCAUCCAGCUCAUCGAUUACAUUUAAACCUGAAAUACAGCGUUUUCAAGAUAUAUACUUACAUGGAAAAAUACAUGCAAGUAUGUUUGUACCCAUGUGCAAACUAAACACCAUAAUAAAUAUUUGAAAAGAGACGCAUCGUACUUCCUAGUGAUUGCAGUUUUGUGAAUAAAUUUUCGAACGAAGUUCAAAUCGAGCUUACUAGACUAGUAGUUUUAAGAAGUUCAUCCUCUUGAAAUAUAUGAUGAAUAAUAAUUCUGUUUUUACUACCCACAAAAGGUAUUUACACAAUUAUGUUUAUAUCAAGUAUUACGUCAUAAAUAUAUGCGUCAACGGUUACGUACAUUUAUUGCACAUAAUAAAAAAAUCAUAUGACGUCUCAAUUCGGUGCAUGCGCAAAGUAAGCGAGAAGUUUUCAAUGAUGCCUUUUGACAAAUUACAUAUUGUGUAUGUUUAAAUAAAUGUUUAUCUGUUUUUGAUACAAAAUGUAACUGUGUUGGUGAACACAAAUAA